AAAACAUGACUUUGAUCUGCGUCCUCAUCUGGACUCUCCUCUGCUGCUGCUUCACAGAGUCCAGAGGACAGAUCACAGUGACUCAGCCUGGAGCAGUGAGCUCUGCUGUGGGAGGAUCUGUGAGCAUCAAGUGUAGGACCAGUCAGAAUGUUCAUGUUUAUAACAACAAUCAGCUUUUAGCCUGGUACCAACAGAAAGAUGGAGGAGUUCCUAAACGUCUCAUUUACUAUGCUAGCACUCGACAAUCAGGGAUUCCAGCUCGUUUUACAGGCAGUGGAUCAAACUCUGACUUCACUCUGACCAUCAGUGGAGUUCAGGCUGAAGAUGCAGCAGUUUAUUACUGUCUGAGUGAACACUACAUUAACAGCCAGCACGUGUUCACACAGUGACAAACAGUCGUACAAAAACCUCCCUCAGUCAGACUGAACAGAAACUGAACUGACUGCUGCAGCUGGAAGAUACUGCAGAGACUGAUACAGUUCACUGAGGACACACACACACACACACAUACACACACACACACACACACACGCGCGUAAAAUAAAUUGAUUCAUCAAAAAUUUGUGUCCUACUGCUAUCGCAUACAUGUUGUGUUCAACUUUCAAAUAUAUAUUUAACUAAAGAACAAACAUGGGCCAUUAACAGAUAUCAGGAUAAGUCCUGUUCAUGACCUUGACGACCUUAGAAGUGGAGCAAACCACUGAAUCUAUAUCAAGUUAAAAUAAUCUAAAUACCAAAAUCUGAAAAUGUUCCUGAUCAGUGAGGAUCAAAAUAAAAAAAAACACACCUGUGAAUUUAAGAUUUUACUGUAAACAUAUCAUCAAACAUGAACAUGAGUAAAAAAACUGUUAAUGAACUGAAGUUGUUUUUUUUUCAUAUUUUGUUCAUAUCAUCAUUCAUUUAAUCUUCUCCUUGUUCGUCAAUGAAAUUAAAACUUUGUACUUCAGAUUCUUUCUAAUCACUCCUUGUAUUCGUUGACUCUCCUGUCUGUGAGUUCUCCUCAGAACAAACAGCUCAUAAGA
Oreochromis niloticus (Nile tilapia) is the source of this 1022-nucleotide non-coding RNA. The record is from the annotation of a RefSeq genome assembly. NCBI's taxonomy places the organism in Eukaryota, Metazoa, Chordata, Actinopteri, Cichliformes, Cichlidae.